This 1720-nucleotide ribosomal RNA is filed under the name Filenchus aquilonius. RNAcentral's name for it is "SSU rRNA". It matches the Rfam family "Eukaryotic small subunit ribosomal RNA". The record is from RNAcentral. Lineage: Eukaryota; Metazoa; Nematoda; Chromadorea; Rhabditida; Tylenchidae.
AUGUAUAAGUAUAAACGACUAGAUCGUGAAACCGCGAACGGCUCAUUAUAACAGCUAUAAUCUACUUGAUUUUGACAAUCCUACUUGGAUAACUGUGGUAAUUCUAGAGCUAAUACAUGCGCAAAAGCUCGGACACCCGUCAAGGGUGGAUGAGUGCAUUUAUUGGAGCAAGACCAAUUUGCGGUGGCGACACUGCAAUUCGUUGACUCAGAAUAACUAAGCUGAUCGUAUGGCCUUGUGCCGACGACGUGUCUUUCGAGUAUCUGCCUUAUCAACUUUCGAUGGUAGUGUAUUCGACUACCAUGGUGGUGACUGGUAACGGAGGAUAAGGGUUCGACUCCGGAGAAGGGGCCUGAGAAAUGGCCACUACGUCUAAGGAUGGCAGCAGGCGCGCAAAUUACCCACUCUCGGUACACUGAGGAGGUAGUGACGAAAAAUAACGAAGACAGCCCUUAGGGUGGUCUAUUGGAAUGGGUACAAUUUAAACCCUUUAACGAUUAGCAAUGAGAGGGCAAGUCUGGUGCCAGCAGCCGCGGUAAUUCCAGCUCUCAAAAUGCAUAGAUACAUUGCUGCGGUUAAAAAGCUCGUAGUUGGAUCUGAGAUCGUGCCGUCGGGGUCCACUCUUCGGAGUGCGUACUUUGGCGUGUGCGGCUAUAGUGUUGGUUGCGCGUGUCGUAGUCUUCAGUGAUUGCGGUGCGUAGGCUAACGAGUUUACUUUGAACAAAUCAGAGUGCUCCAAACAGGCGUUUUCGCUUGAAUGUUCGUGCAUGGAAUAAUAGAAGAGGAUUUCGGUUCUGUUUUAUUGGUUUUAAGACCGAGAUAAUGGUUAAUAGAGACAAACGGGGGCAUUCGUACUUCUGCGUGAGAGGUGAAAUUCUUGGACCGCAGMAAGACGAACUAMAGCGAAAGCAUUUGCCAAGAAUGUCUUCAUUAAUCAAGAACGAAAGUCAGAGGWUCGAAGGCGAUCAGAUACCGCCCUAGUUCUGACCGUAAACGAUGCCAACUAGCGAUCCGCCGGCGGAUAUUUCGCCCUGGUGGGGAGCUUCCCGGAAACGAAAGUCUUCCGGUUCCGGGGGAAGUAUGGUUGCAAAGCUGAAACUUAAAGGAAUUGACGGAAGGGCACCACCAGGAGUGGAGCCUGCGGCUUAAUUUGACUCAACACGGGAAAACUCACCCGGCCCGGACACCGUAAGGAUUGACAGAUUGAUAGCUUUUUCAUGAUUCGGUGGAUGGUGGUGCAUGGCCGUUCUUAGUUCGUGGAGCGAUUUGUCUGGUUUAUUCCGAUAACGAGCGAGACUCUAGCCUACUAAAUAGUUCGCACAUUGUCAACUUGUGUGCGCUUACUUCUUAGAGGGAUUUUCGGUGUUCAGCCGCACGAGAUUGAGCAAUAACAGGUCUGUGAUGCCCUUAGAUGUCCGGGGCUGCACGCGCGCUACACUGGCGAAAUCAGCGUGCUUAUCCUCUCUCGAAAGGGAUUGGUAAACCAUUGAAAAUUUGCCGUGAUUGGGAUCGGAAAUUGCAAUUAUUUUCCGUGAACGAGGAAUUCCAAGUAAGUGCGAGUCAUCAACUCGCGUUGAUUACGUCCCUGCCCUUUGUACACACCGCCCGUCGCUACCCGGGACUGAGCCAUUUCGAGAAAUUUGGGGAUUGCUGACUAGCGGUUCCGCAAGGGAUUGCUUUUCGGUGAAAACCAACUUAAUCGAAGUGGCUUGAACCGGGU